This 2195-nucleotide unclassified non-coding RNA is filed under the name Dimorphilus gyrociliatus. RNAcentral describes it as "umuC domain-containing protein". The record is from RNAcentral. Lineage: Eukaryota; Metazoa; Annelida; Polychaeta; Dinophilidae.
AGAAAACGCCGAAAUAUGCUGAUAUUAGCAGCGGAGUUUCAAAUAAACAAAAUCAAUCAUUAAACCCCUAAGUAUUUUUGCACCGGAUUGUAAUGCAUAGUUUAUUUGAUUGAAUAACGCUUCGUAAAUGGUUUUUUAGCGUAAAAACAAAAAUGGUUCUAUUAAUAUUUUACAGUUGAACGAUAAUAAAGAUUUAAAAUAUUUAGAAAUUUGGCGCGUAAAAAGAAAAUUAAUUCUUGAUUAGGCAAAUGGAUGACGUUAUUGCUUUAAUAGACAUGGAUUGCUUCUACGUACAAGUAGAAAGAAAGUUCAAUCCUGAAUUUGAAAACAAGCCAUGUAUUGUGGUUCAGUAUAGACUAUAUAGAGGAGGAGGAGUGUUAGCCGUUAGUUACGAAGCGAGAAAAUUUGGCAUAAAGAGGGGUAUGAUGGCUGACGAAGCGUGCGAAUUGUGUCCUGAAUUAUGUAUAGCCAGAGUUCAAGAGACCAAUGGAAAAGCUAACAUUCAAAGAUAUAGAGACGCUGGAGCCGACGUAAUUAAAUCUAUAACAAAGCUGACACCUAAUGUGGAGAAGGCUAGUGUUGAUGAAGCAUAUAUAAAUUUAACAUCCUUAGUUAAUGAAAGAUUAAAGAAUUACGGAACUAUUGAUGAAAGUCUUUUAGAAAAUACCUUUGUGGAGGGAUUGAACAAUCCAGAAGCGGACAAGAACCUCUCAGAGUCGGUUCCUGAGGAUUCUGGGGUGAAAGCUUUUAUAAAAGUGUGCAACAACACAUGUAUUAAUAAUUUAAAGUUAUUACUAGGAGCGAAGAUAGUGGAAGAAAUAAGACAGGAAAUCUUUAAGGACACUGGCUUCCGUUGUUCUGCUGGAAUUUCUCAUAAUAAAACAUUAGCUAAACUGGCUUGCGGACUGCAUAAACCAAAUAAACAGACAAUACUUCCAAAAUCUUCUGUUCAAUCACUUUUCAACGUGAUACAUAUAAAACAAAUAAGAAAUUUAGGUGGCAAACUUGGUGACCAAAUUUGCUCUGAUCUUAAAAUUUCUACAAUGGGGGAAUUGUGUAACAUUUCAUUAAAAAAACUGCAGCAUUUAUAUAAUGAUAAAACAGGACAGUGGAUAUACGAUUUGUGCAGAGGAAGAGACAUUGAGCCUGUUGCUGAGCGACAACUUUCAAAAUCAAUCGCUUGUAGUCGAAAUUUUCGAGGGCCAGAAGCUUUAAAGAGUGCAUCUUCGAUAAAGAAUUGGUUAAGCAAUUUUGCUGAGGAGCUACUCGAACGGUUAAAUAAAGAUUUAAAUGAGAAUAAACGCAAGGCAAAGCAGAUGGUUGUCUGCGCCAAAAUGCAGAUAAAGUUGGAAAAUGUUAGUCGAUCCUGGCCCUUAACGAAAUACUGUAAAGAAGCCAUUGUCAGUCGGUCUUUCAAUUUAUUACUAAAGUUUAAUCAGUCUUCCCAGACUUCAGAUCGUUGGUUUCCACCUCUCGUAUUACUUGGCUUAAGCGCCACGAAAUUUGAGGAUGUCAAUAUUACGUCAUCAAUUUCUACUUUUCUCGUUCCGCAGGAAUUCCAAUCAAAUAGAUUUGAUUAUGAUACAACUCCAAAGACGACGAUAAAAGAAGCAUCAAAGGAAAGAAAGUGUACAAGCGAUAUUAAAGACUUUUUUGAAAAGAAAAGUUGCAAGGAACCACCCAUUUCAAUGAUCACUUCGUCAAAUAGUCACAAAAAGAGACGAAUUGGACCACUAGAGAAACUGUGGAAGAAUAAGCAGCUUUCUAAUAAUGAACGUUUACCCUUGACAGGCAAUCAAUUAGUAAGAACGGAUUAUGAUAGUAAUACUGAAGGGAAAUCGUUCUCAUUGGACAGCUGUAAGAGUUCUCGGAACAAUGGUAAAGAUAACCGUUGUCAAUCUGAUACGGAUGAUGAUGAAAAUGAAAUAGAGAUAAUAGACAUUCUCAUUGGAGGGGAAAAAUCCGAAAUGAAAAAAAAACAAUUUGAAUGGAAAUUACCAUUGAGUUCCGCUAAUAUUUCACUUGAAGAAGUUGAUAAUUGCAAUAAAGUAUCAGUUUCGAAAGAUGCCCGAAGGGAUUCGCAAGUUGAGCAUAAAAAAGGAACUAAAUCGAUCAGAGAAUUCUUUAGUAAGAAUUAGGCAAAGUUACGUCGUUUUCAUCUUCUUUUUUAUGUAAUACAUUCGCCUUGACAUUUC